UGCCAGCCGCCGCGGUAAUACGGAGGGCGCAAGCGUUGUUCGGAAUCAUUGGGCGUAAAGCGCGCGUAGGCGGCUUGGCAAGUCGGGUGUGAAAUCCCGGGGCCCAACCCCGGAACUGCACUCGAAACUGCCUCGCUAGAGUCUCGGAGAGGAAGGCGGAAUUCCCGGUGUAGAGGUGAAAUUCGUAGAUAUCGGGAGGAACACCAGUGGCGAAGGCGGCCUUCUGGACGGUGACUGACGCUGAGGUGCGAAAGCGUGGGGAGCAAACAGGAUUAGAUA
This 279-nucleotide ribosomal RNA is filed under the name uncultured bacterium. RNAcentral's name for it is "partial 16S ribosomal RNA". It matches the Rfam family "Bacterial small subunit ribosomal RNA", at positions 506 to 784 of the family's 1533-position model. The record is from RNAcentral.